UGGGGAAUAUUGCACAAUGGAGGGAACUCUGAUGCAGCGACGCCGCGUGAACGAAGAAGGCUUUCGAGUCGUAAAGUUCUUUUAUAUGGGAAGAUAAUGACGUUACCAUAAGAAAAAGCCCCGGCUAACUACGUGCCAGCAGCCGCGGUAAUACGUAGGGGGCUAGCGUUGUCCGGAAUCACUGGGCGUAAAGGGUUCGCAGGCGGCAAUGCAAGUCAGAUGUAAAAGGCAAAGGCUCAACCUUUGUAAGCAUCUGAAACUGUAUAGCUUGAGAAGUGUAGAGGCAAGUGGAAUUUUUAGUGUAGCGGUGAAAUGCGUAGAUAUUAAAAAGAAUACCGGUGGCGAAGGCGACUUGCUGGGCACAAUCUGACGCUGAGGAACGAAAGCGUGGGGAGCAAACAGG
RNAcentral lists this ribosomal RNA (403 nucleotides) under Verrucomicrobiota bacterium. Its description in RNAcentral is "Verrucomicrobia bacterium partial 16S ribosomal RNA". It matches the Rfam family "Bacterial small subunit ribosomal RNA", at positions 355 to 776 of the family's 1533-position model. The record is from RNAcentral. Lineage: Bacteria; Pseudomonadati; Verrucomicrobiota.